GACGAACGCUGGCGGCGUGCUUAACACAUGCAAGUCGUACGGUAAGGCCCUUUCGGGGGUACACGAGUGGCGAACGGGUGAGUAACACGUGAGUAACCUGCCCACAACUUUGGGAUAACGCUAGGAAACUGGUGCUAAUACUGGAUAUGUGCUCCUGCCGCAUGGUGGGGGGUGGAAAGCUCCGGCGGUUGUGGAUGGACUCGCGGCCUAUCAGCUUGUUGGUGGGGUAGUGGCCUACCAAGGCGGCGACGGGUAGCCGGCCUGAGAGGGUGACCGGCCACAUUGGGACUGAGAUACGGCCCAGACUCCUACGGGAGGCAGCAGUGGGGAAUAUUGCACAAUGGGCGCAAGCCUGAUGCAGCAACGCCGCGUGCGGGAUGACGGCCUUCGGGUUGUAAACCGCUUUCAGCAGGGACGAAGCUUUUUGUGACGGUACCUGCAGAAGAAGCACCGGCUAACUACGUG
This 465-nucleotide ribosomal RNA is filed under the name uncultured bacterium. Its description in RNAcentral is "partial 16S ribosomal RNA". It matches the Rfam family "Bacterial small subunit ribosomal RNA", at positions 28 to 507 of the family's 1533-position model. The record is from RNAcentral.